UACAGAGGUCUCAAGCGUUGUUCGGAUUCAUUGGGCUUAAAGGGUGCGUAGGCUGCGCAGAAAGUUGGGUGUGAAAUACCUCGGCUCAACCGAGGAACUGCGCCCAAAACUACUGUGCUCGAGGAAGAUAGAGGUAAGCGGAACUUACGGUGGAGCGGUGAAAUGCGUUGAUAUCGUAAGGAACACCUGUGGCGAAAGCGGCUUACUGGGUCUUUUCUGACGCUGAUGCACGAAAGCUAGGGGAGCAAACGGG
This 253-nucleotide ribosomal RNA is filed under the name uncultured bacterium. Its description in RNAcentral is "partial 16S ribosomal RNA". It matches the Rfam family "Bacterial small subunit ribosomal RNA", at positions 524 to 776 of the family's 1533-position model. The record is from RNAcentral.